GUCCUGGGGUAGCUCAGUCAGUAGAGCUUACUGUACAUGGGAUUCUUAAUCUCAGGUUGUGGGUUUGAACCCCACAUUGGGCA
Non-coding RNA from Podarcis lilfordi (Lilford's wall lizard), 83 nucleotides. Lineage: Eukaryota; Metazoa; Chordata; Lepidosauria; Squamata; Lacertidae. The record is from the annotation of a GenBank genome assembly.